RNAcentral lists this ribosomal RNA (335 nucleotides) under uncultured bacterium. RNAcentral describes it as "bacterial SSU rRNA". It matches the Rfam family "Bacterial small subunit ribosomal RNA", at positions 18 to 344 of the family's 1533-position model. The record is from RNAcentral.
CCUUUCUCCUUCUGCCCGCUAGCUACAGGCUUAACACAUGCAAGUCGAGGGGCAGCAUGGAAGAAGCUUGCUUCUUCUGAUGGCGACCGGCGCACGGGUGCGUAACGCGUAUCAAACCUGCCUCAUACUCGGGGAUAGCCUUGCGAAAGUAAGAUUAAUACCCGAUGUUAUUAGUUCAUCGCAUGGUGGACUAAUCAAAGAUUUAUCGGUAUGAGAUGGUGAUGCGUCCGAUUAGGUAGUAGGCGGGGUAACGGCCCACCUAGCCUUCGAUCGGUAGGGGUUCUGAGAGGAAGGUCCCCCACACUGGAACUGAGACACGGUCCAGACUCCUACGG